Molecule: ribosomal RNA, 329 nt
Filed under: Aulophorus borellii
Lineage: Eukaryota; Metazoa; Annelida; Clitellata; Tubificida; Naididae
Description: partial 28S ribosomal RNA
Rfam family: Eukaryotic large subunit ribosomal RNA
Source: RNAcentral
AUUAAUAAGCGGAGGAAAAGAAACUAACCAGGAUUCCCUCAGUAACGGCGAGUGAAGCGGGAAGAGCCCAGCGCCGAAUCGCGCGUCCCCGGGACGCAGCGAACUGUGGCGUUUAGGACCAGCGCAUGCGCGUCGGUCUGGCGUCCGAGUCCUCCUGAUCGGGGCCUUGCCAGAGCGGGUGUCAGCCCUCUACGGCGCCGGACUUACGCGCCCGCGACGUCCUCGGAGUCGGGUUGUUUGAUAAUGCAGCCCAAAGCGGGUGGUAAACUCCAUCUAAGGCUAAAUACGGACGCGAGUCCGAUAGCGAACAAGUACCGUGAGGGAAAGUU